AACGCGAAGAACCUUACCAGGCCUUGACAUCCCGUGCUACGUCCAGAGAUGGGCGGUCCCCGCAAGGGGCGCGGAGACAGGUGCUGCAUGGCUGUCGUCAGCUCGUGUCGUGAGAUGUUGGGUUAAGUCCCGCAACGAGCGCAACCCUCGCCUUUAGUUGCCAUCAUUCAGUUGGGCACUCUAAAGGGACCGCCGGCGACAAGCCGGAGGAAGGUGGGGAUGACGUCAAGUCCUCAUGGCCCUUACGGCCUGGGCUACACACGUGCUACAAUGGCGGUGACAGUGGGCAGCGACCACGCGAGUGGAUGCGAAUCCCAAAAAACCGUCCCAGUUCAGAUUGCACUCUGCAACUCGGGUGCAUGAAGGUGGAAUCGCUAGUAAUCGCAGAACAGCAGGCUGCGGUGAAUACGUUCCCGGGCCUUGUACACACCGUAGUAC
This 438-nucleotide ribosomal RNA is filed under the name uncultured bacterium. Its description in RNAcentral is "bacterial SSU rRNA". It matches the Rfam family "Bacterial small subunit ribosomal RNA", at positions 958 to 1398 of the family's 1533-position model. The record is from RNAcentral.